GACGAACGCUGGCGGCGUGCCUAAUACAUGCAAGUCGAGCGGAUGAUGAGGAGCUUGCUCCUCUGAUUCAGCGGCGGACGGGUGAGUAACACGUGGGCAACCUGCCUGUAAGACUGGGAUAACUUCGGGAAACCGGAGCUAAUACCGGAUAACUCUUCGGACCACAUGAUCUGAAGAUAAAAGAUGGCGUCUAGCUAUCACUUACAGAUGGGCCCGCGGCGCAUUAGCUAGUUGGUGAGGUAACGGCUCACCAAGGCGACGAUGCGUAGCCGACCUGAGAGGGUGAUCGGCCACACUGGGACUGAGACACGGCCCAGACUCCUACGGGAGGCAGCAGUAGGGAAUCUUCCGCAAUGGACGAAAGUCUGACGGAGCAACGCCGCGUGAGCGAUGAAGGCCUUCGGGUCGUAAAGCUCUGUUGUUAGGGAAGAACAAGUACCAGUUAACUGCUGGUACCUUGACGGUACCUAACCAGAAAGCCACGGCUAACUACGUGCCAGCCGCCGCAGUAAUAC
This 515-nucleotide ribosomal RNA is filed under the name uncultured bacterium. RNAcentral describes it as "bacterial SSU rRNA". It matches the Rfam family "Bacterial small subunit ribosomal RNA", at positions 28 to 526 of the family's 1533-position model. The record is from RNAcentral.